UCGGGGCGGCAGAGGUGCACCGGUGUCUCUCCGGGGACCUGUCGCUUUAAGGGGAGGGGCCGGAGCCGGGAAGCUGCCAGAAGUUUCUGGCUGCCCGAGCCAGCCCCGAGCGCCGGCGCCCGCCCGCGCCCUCUCCCCGAAAGCGCCCAGGGCUCUGGCAGAUUAAGCGCGGAUUGCCGUAAACUAAAUUUGUCCCCUUAAGGCGAUUGCCUGGUAAAUCUGCACGCAGGGCUUCCCGGGAGCCGGCCGCUGCUGGAGCCGAGCACCGGCAGCGCCAACUCCCAGGAUCCGCCCGGUAUCGCUCCCGACCCGGCACCUCGGCCCGGGAAAGCUGCGAGCGCUGCCCGCCCUCCUGCAGUGCAGCUCCUCCGGAACGCCGCUGGAAUGUGCCGUGCGCUGAAUAUCCUAAAUCACCAGCCAAACUACUAUAAAAAUUUCUGGCGCUGUCUUGGGUGACCAAGAUGGGAUAAAGAGGAAAAAACUUCCUGCAGUUUUGCACUUUCCAUUAGGAAAUCCAAACUAAUGGGCAACCACGAUGCUCCUAGUAGCACUUAAUUUUGUUUUAUUAGUGGGAAUAGGAUGAAUAGUUUCUCUGCUAUCUCAAUUCACAACUGCUGUGCACGGGCAGGAGUUGCAGGACAAGCUGCCGCAGCUGAAAAGCUGGUUUACCACUCAAAUAAGGAGCAGUCUCUAGGUGACCAGUCAGCAAUUUCCACCAAUUCAGUGGCUGAAUUUUCUUUGGCAGGCAAAGCAGGCUGCUGGAAGGGUUCUGCUCCAGCCUUCAAGCUGAUUAUACCUGGAAGGACUGAUAAAUGGCUAGAUGCCCACAUCAUAAAACAACCUACACAUCUUCUGAAUUUGGACAUUUACAUUGGUAUUAAUAGUUCUGGUGUUCCAAGUGUGAGGGAGGAAAUACAUGGACCUCUUCAGAGCACUAUGGAAUACACAUUUUAGCAUUGCAAUCUAAAAUGUAGCAUCAUGCUUUUACCUACAUUUAAAGGCUGUUAAAGAAGUUGGUUCUCCAGCAUUUUUUUUUAACAGAUUUAUAUAUUUUUCCAUCUAUGUGGGAUGAAAUCAUCCUCACCCGUCUUCUUUUACUUGUGCUGCAUUACUAUAUUCAAAUUCCUUUGUAAAGUCUGUCAUGCCAUACAGCAGCUGAUAAAAUUGCUUUACACUGUGCUUUGCCUAUAAGCACAUCUAAUACAGAGUGUGUGAAUAUAUUAUUUCUAUCUCCUAAUCUGUAUUCCUCUGCACCACACACAGGAUGUUCCAAGUAAACCACAUGAAAACAAGAUUAAGUAUUCAAUCUAGAAACACAGCAGACAUGGUUACUAGGAAAGCCUGCAGGACUGCUUUCAGAUUAAUACACAAAGAGAAAACUGGGUCUAUACCUUCCCUUUGUCUUUCACAUAUAGAGAGUUUGAAAAGCUGAGAUUUCAGCUUGUAUUAAACAUCCAAAAUUCAACAUUUAUCUACUCUACAAGACUCUUGAGUCGAGAAACUAGGGAAGCAAUUUCAAGAAGCAAAAAUCACCCCAACAAUCCCACAACUACUGAAAAGAAAGGACUGGUUUUAGUUUUUAAAUGAAAAUUUCACAUUUGUUUAUUUUCAAUAACCAAGGUUCAGAAAAAGCUCGUUAAAGAUUCAAGACUCUCCCCAGACCCCACCUGGCAUCCACAUUAAUUACUGAGUUUAAAAAAGAAACAUCAUAAGACUCAACAUCUGAUUUGUUUUCUCAUCCAUAUUAUGCAAGAGGAACAGUGGCAAAACUUUUUUUGCUACUGCCUAUGGUAUUUUGAAGUUAUUUUUCCAAGGGACAUGUUUUCUAAUUGUUUGCCUAUCGUCCAUAAUUCAAAAUGGAAACACCCAGUUUGCAAGUGGAAUCAUCACACACAUACUUGAAUAUUCCACCUACAGUCAUCCCAGUCACACAAAUCACUGGGAAAAAAACACCAAUAAUACCCCACUACUUCAACCCAAACCCCAAACCAGAUUUUUAAGUCAUCUAAUGAAGGUCAAAAAUUCCCUUUCCAUCCUGCAGAAUUAGCAGCCACCUCAGUGUCAUUCAAAGGUUUUCAGAAACUUUAGGGCAAUGAAGGCUUGAAAAGAUGCAAUUUUGAAAAACAGCAUCUUUUUUUUUACAGCAGAAUCAAUCUCUUAAUAAACAAAAUCGCAGAGUGUAAUUAAGAGGACAAGAUUUUGCUUACAGCUCAACCUCCUGUCAUUUGAAAGACACUCAACUUUACAGUAAUAGCAGAUAUUUUCAGGAAAAACUGUAAUUGUAACACUUUAAUAUACUCAAUUUGGCAGAUAAUAAUUAGUUUAUAGUUGAUUUUAAAUACAUUUCUCAUGUAUUUUCAGAGUAGCAAAGAUGAGAAACUUCUAAAACCUUUCUACAACCUAUGUUACUGAGACACACAACUCCUCAGAGACAAAUGCAGUAUCUGAAACAAAGACCGAAGUCCAGAAGACAAAACCUCCUUAAAAAAAAGUAAAUCUAUUGGCCCAUCAUCCACCUCCCAGAAAUGAGAACACUGCAACAGGAAACAGGAGGAAUUUUUCUGUGAACUUGCAAACUACAAAAUAGAAUAAAAGGCAGUGAUGUUUUUCACAUGAAAAAGCUAUUACAUGAAAGCUCAAGAGUAAGAGUAUGCUUUGGGCAAAUUUUCUUCUGGCUGAAAAAAAAUCAGAUUUUGACUUGAUACUUUGCUUUUGUUACUGUUGUGCAUUUCAGAGAAAGGUAAAACUAAUAAUUUUGAAAUUUCUGAAGGAAAAUGGUUCAAUUUUAUCAGUAUUUGCCCACAAAUAAAAAUUAUGGUAGAAAACAUCCUGAUCAAACCAAACAUUUACAAGUUAAAAAAGGGGAGGGCGCUUCUUGUAAUGAAAAUUAUUUCCAGUUUCAAUUUAAAACCUACAGGAAGUUUCAAGUAACACCUCACUAAUCUUGUAAGCAAACAUUAUACAGCUGUGGCAAAAAGUCAUUCCCCUCAACCAAGCUGGAAGUUACCAGACAGAUGUCUGGAAGCAUUAAACCAACUUCUGACAGCUUUAGCCUUUUCUAUAGGUGCAAAGCAUAUAUUUUCUUUAUUUCAAAUUAUUCUGUUAGAUCAGUCCAAUGCCAAGCUUAUUUAAAGUUCUUAAAGACUUGAAAGGGUUCAAAAGCUGAUUUUCCUCUUCAAAUAAAAAUGAGUUCGGUGGAAAGGAUUUACAGGUUCUAAGAUCAUGAAGGACCAAGUGACCCAAAACAAGAGGUUCAAUUUGGUACUCACGAGUAACACUUCUUUUAUUUAAUGUAUCUGUAUUAAAUGCAAAAUGGAUUUUCAUUAUUUUUACUUAUCUGUGUAAAGCUGAAUUUUUAUGGGACUAGUAAUCCCAUUCCUUUUUUUUUCCCAGAACUAUGCUAAGUUGAUGGAUACAGAAUUAUAAAAAUAUUUUAACUCUACUCAGAACAUGAGAAAUAUUUAGAAGAUUUUAAAAGUUAGUCUAUCCUAAUAAUUUCCAAAGAGCAACUCAAUUCUUCAUCCAGAAAUGUACCAAGUAGCGUUAUUUCCAAACAUCUAAACUGUAAUUACCUCAUUUCCUAUUUAAAAUAGAAAAUCCAGAAAGGUGACUAUGCUUUAAAAGAUUACAGCAUUAUUUUUUUCCCAACCCAACUGAAUGAAACCCACUGAAUUCUGAUUCUGUUCCUAAUUUGGUCACAGACUUGCUGCACCACGAUGAGACCCAGCAGGCAUGUACCAAUUCUCAAUUCUGCAGAAUGGGGCUAAUGCACAUCUAAUUCAAAGGCAAGUGAGCAUUUGAUGUUUCUCUAGUACUUUCAAACCUAAGAAUGGAAAUCUGUAUUCUUUCUAUUGGUAUAGCACAUCUCUCUAUACAAUGUUUUAUUUAAUAAAAACACUCCAGAACUGCUGAUCAAGCUCUCUAAAAAUAACACCAAUUCCUUACUAUUUCUUCUGUAGGUCUCUUGUUUUGUAUUGCUGAAAGGCUACAUGAAGAUAUUUUGAAUGCCAGCUCCCACUGUUUAUCCCUCUAAAUAUAAAAUCUUUUUUGAAGUCAAUUAUUGCCAUAGCUACCAGACUGCAUUUUUUUCCUGUAAGGUUUAACUAAAUAUUCAAACUAUUUAACAUAAUAGUUUAGUACUGUAAAAUGGUGCAACUUCAUUAAUGUCGGCCAGACAUUUUUUUGUAUGUUUCAAGUGAAGUCUGACCAUUAAGUUUCUACAUAUGUGCAGAUAAAAAAGUAACACUUAAUUUGAAAUAAGAAGCUUUUUGAAAGAGAAGACUUGUCUUUUAGUCACAGAUAUUUGAAAGCCUUCUUUCACAUUUCCUGUGUUUAGUGCAAGAACCAAAAUUCAUUCAAGUAUGGAAAACUGUUAAGUGAAAAAAAGAGGAAGCAAUAAAUAACAUGUUUGUUAUUAAAGGGUAAAAUAACUUAGUAAAAAGUAUGUCCUUGAUACCUGUUUUGCACUUGGAAAUAAGGACUAUAUUAAACCUUUACAUUAAAAAGUACUCUUUUUCCAACUAAAAGCUUUAGAUAACACUUAGAGGCAUUAUUUAAAUUAUUAGGUCUGGAAAACUUGCCUCAUAUUUAAAAGUGUGCCACAGUUCUGUCUAGAGAUGCUGCUGUGUAAAACUUGGGAUGUUUCAAAGCACUGAAAAGAAUGAUAGGAUAAUGAUAUGCUUGUCUUCCAAAUGGAUUGGAACAAAGAUAAUUUGAUAGUUUAAUCAAACAAACCAGUCCAGGCUGUUCCUGAUCAAAAUGGUGAAGAGACUAAUAUAUGACUAUGCCAAGUGUAAAAAAUCAGUAGUCAAUGAAAUCUCAAGAGACCAAACUCUUUUUAAGACAAUUGUAUAAUUCUUUGGCAAUAUUUCUAUUUCCAGUCAAAGACAGUUUAACUAUUGUUUUCUGUUUAAGAAGUUAGUUCUACAGAAAUUCAGUAUAACAGUAUACAGAACAGGAAAAUCUAUAUGUGUGAAACAAAUUGUAUUCUACAGCAAAUCUAUUCUAGGGAACUGAUAAUACUGGCAUUUUGGUUGACAGAAAAAUAUAACAAUAUUUUUACAUACUAAAACUGAUACCAAGAACAGGAACAGUGAAUAGUAAUUAAAAUCAGAUAAUUAUCUAAGAAUGUUGGGAGUUUUUUCACUGAAAUUGUGGCAUAUUAAGCUUCUGUUUAUUAUCAUCUAUUUUUAAAACUAUUUUCUAUUGUGUAAAACUUCAGACACAAAUUCAUGCCAAGUUGAAAAACUGAACCUUAAAAAAAAACCACCAAAAAUUGAACAAAAUCAACACCCAAAACCCCAAAACCUAUAAACCAUGACUCUCUUUUCUGCAAAUACAAAAGAAAACUUCUUAUCUUGGUUUACUUCCAUACUUUGUACAACACUUUCUAAACUUCUUAUGAGGAAAGAAAAGCAGGGAGGUUGUUCCUAGGUUAGAACGGAAAGGGAAAGCUGAAGGGAUGAGUUACUAAUUCAAAAUCCCCCAGCAGAAUGAGAUUUCUCAAACACUGACCCAAGUCAAUUCACUAACUAGCUAUGAUUUUCUUAGUCUUAUAUGUACUGAUAAAAUUAUAUUCCAAAAUUCUAAGCAUUUUAAGAUUUUAUUUUGUAUAUUUAUAUGAAAUUGUAACUGUAGCUGAUGUGUAACUUCAUAUAAAGUAGUUUUUAAAAAUAUGUUAAAAUUAUAACAAAAUAACACAUUGAAUUAUAUAAUCAGUCUGGUAAAAGAAUCAUGAGUAGCCUUUGAAUUUGGUUUUUGCCACUGUUGCCAGCUAAGAGAACAAUGAGGGAGUACCAAAAGUAAUGCCCAACCUACACAUAACUGUCAAACAAUAUGAAACAAAAAAUCUAAAUACAAAACAAACUGGAAAACUAGGAUUUUUCCGAUUGAGAAUCGAUUCCUCCCAGAAAGACAUUAUUUAGUACAUUAAGCACAACUGAUCUGCACAUCAAAGCUACGCAAAAAUCGAAGCAUUCAGGAAGUAAGAACGAGUGCACUUUGGUUCUUGAGACAAAAUGAAUCUGUAGCAGAUCACCAACUGUACACAAGAGUCAACCAAAAGCACAGCAGUAUAUACUGGCUAACUUCAUACAGUAACACAACAAAUUUUAGACAGGAGAAAGGAUUUUAACUCUGCCAUGCUUCUUCGACUGCUGCCUAGCAAUUCACUGUAAAAUUGCUGGCCAAGGACAAGACAUUGAGAAAGAACUAUGAAAAUUAGUUUAGAAAAUACCUACAAAGAGACUAAAAUAACUUAAUCUAACCAUUUUAUCAAAUUACAAUGGAUGAGAUUCCUGGGAAAAACAAACAAAAACUUAAUUACACAUAGAAGGUUAUCAAGGCUGUUCCUCUCAGCAGGAUCAUUUUAGCUGUAUUAUUCGUAACAGAUGCCUGUAAUAUCUAUUCUUAAAUUUAGAAGUGAAUAUUCCACACUCUCUGCAGUGCUUACAGGCUUUUCUAUAAUAUCACAUCUAAGCAUUCCUUGCUAUUGUUAUUUCUUGUCUGAUCAACACUGUAUAUAGAGAGCAGUGUACUUUUCCUUUGCAGCUUUCAAGAGAUGCAACUCCUUAAAGCAAUCCCAUUUCUAAAAGAAAAAAACAAAUUAUGAUGUAAAUUUUACCUAUAAGGCAAAUAUUUAUAUAUAUUUCUAUUUACCUACAGGCCCUGAAUUUCUAAUUGCUCCUCUGGAGUUUGAUUUAAUGACCUCAGAUGUUUCUUCUAGUUGGUGCCUAAAAACAGACACAGAAAUAUUGUGCAUCACCACUGCUAAAAGAGGAACACACAGUUAAAGCACGCUGGCCUUUCUUAGCAACUGAUGUGUGCCCACACACUCAUGUACUUGGCUGGAAUGUUGUUUCAGUGGACACAAAAGCUGUAUUAAGAGAAACUACCAGAUAAAAGAAAAGAAGCUGCA
Molecule: long non-coding RNA, 6916 nt
Organism: Pseudopipra pipra
Lineage: Eukaryota; Metazoa; Chordata; Aves; Passeriformes; Pipridae
Exons: 2
Source: RefSeq, a predicted model, not a curated record